AUCUGGGCGGCGAAAUUCAGGAUGGCUGGCGGGCUUCGCGCUUGUCCGGCCGUUUGAUGUUUUCGUCGCCGUUCGCAGACGUCGCGACCUGUUUGUCGUCGGUCCCUGCUCGGAGGAGCCGUUGUCGAGUUCGUUGUGGGCGCGUUUCGGCGCGUUUCACGGCGAAGGCGCGCGGAUCUCUGGCUGACGACGGACAGUAAGCAACGGUGUCCGACGCCGUGUCUCGCACUCGGCGUCGGUGCCGGUCGGCGACGAUUUCUUCGGGCCUCUUUCCGACCCGUCUUGAAACACGGACCAAGGAGUCUAACAUGCGCGCGAGUCGCGGGGUAUCGAGCGUACCACGGUGCGCUCGUUACGUCACGAAACCCGUACGUUGAAGGCGUAAUGAAAGUGAAUGGGGAAGAUGGCGUUUCCGAGUUCACGUUCCGCGAUCUCGUAUCGCGGCCGGACGCCCGCAUUCCCGGGGCGUCUCAACGGCUCGUCGCGAAUGCGGACGGUCGCCUUUCGGGGUGGCCGUCGGUUUGCGACGGACCGA
RNAcentral lists this ribosomal RNA (535 nucleotides) under Pseudoparlatoria sp. ud4144. RNAcentral describes it as "eukaryotic LSU rRNA". The record is from RNAcentral. Lineage: Eukaryota; Metazoa; Arthropoda; Insecta; Hemiptera; Diaspididae.